Molecule: ribosomal RNA, 1404 nt
Filed under: Escherichia coli
Lineage: Bacteria; Pseudomonadati; Pseudomonadota; Gammaproteobacteria; Enterobacterales; Enterobacteriaceae
Description: partial 23S ribosomal RNA
Rfam family: Bacterial large subunit ribosomal RNA
Source: RNAcentral
GAUUUCCGAAUGGGGAAACCCAGUGUGUUUCGACACACUAUCAUUAACUGAAUCCAUAGGUUAAUGAGGCGAACCGGGGGAACUGAAACAUCUAAGUACCCCGAGGAAAAGAAAUCAACCGAGAUUCCCCCAGUAGCGGCGAGCGAACGGGGAGGAGCCCAGAGCCUGAAUCAGUGUGUGUGUUAGUGGAAGCGUCUGGAAAGGCGCGCGAUACAGGGUGACAGCCCCGUACACAAAAAUGCACAUGCUGUGAGCUCGAUGAGUAGGGCGGGACACGUGGUAUCCUGUCUGAAUAUGGGGGGACCAUCCUCCAAGGCUAAAUACUCCUGACUGACCGAUAGUGAACCAGUACCGUGAGGGAAAGGCGAAAAGAACCCCGGCGAGGGGAGUGAAAAAGAACCUGAAACCGUGUACGUACAAGCAGUGGGAGCCUCUUAAUGGGGUGACUGCGUACCUUUUGUAUAAUGGGUCAGCGACUUAUAUUCUGUAGCAAGGUUAACCGAAUAGGGGAGCCGAAGGGAAACCGAGUCUUAACUGGGCGUUAAGUUGCAGGGUAUAGACCCGAAACCCGGUGAUCUAGCCAUGGGCAGGUUGAAGGUUGGGUAACACUAACUGGAGGACCGAACCGACUAAUGUUGAAAAAUUAGCGGAUGACUUGUGGCUGGGGGUGAAAGGCCAAUCAAACCGGGAGAUAGCUGGUUCUCCCCGAAAGCUAUUUAGGUAGCGCCUCGUGAAUUCAUCUCCGGGGGUAGAGCACUGUUUCGGCAAGGGGGUCAUCCCGACUUACCAACCCGAUGCAAACUGCGAAUACCGGAGAAUGUUAUCACGGGAGACACACGGCGGGUGCUAACGUCCGUCGUGAAGAGGGAAACAACCCAGACCGCCAGCUAAGGUCCCAAAGUCAUGGUUAAGUGGGAAACGAUGUGGGAAGGCCCAGACAGCCAGGAUGUUGGCUUAGAAGCAGCCAUCAUUUAAAGAAAGCGUAAUAGCUCACUGGUCGAGUCGGCCUGCGCGGAAGAUGUAACGGGGCUAAACCAUGCACCGAAGCUGCGGCAGCGACACUAUGUGUUGUUGGGUAGGGGAGCGUUCUGUAAGCCUGUGAAGGUGGCCUGUGAGGGUUGCUGGAGGUAUCAGAAGUGCGAAUGCUGACAUAAGUAACGAUAAAGCGGGUGAAAAGCCCGCUCGCCGGAAGACCAAGGGUUCCUGUCCAACGUUAAUCGGGGCAGGGUGAGUCGACCCCUAAGGCGAGGCCGAAAGGCGUAGUCGAUGGGAAACAGGUUAAUAUUCCUGUACUUGGUGUUACUGCGAAGGGGGGACGGAGAAGGCUAUGUUGGCCGGGCGACGGUUGUCCCGGUUUAAGCGUGUAGGCUGGUUUUCCAGGCAAAUCCGGAAAAUCAAGGCUGA